RNAcentral lists this ribosomal RNA (253 nucleotides) under uncultured bacterium. Its description in RNAcentral is "partial 16S ribosomal RNA". It matches the Rfam family "Bacterial small subunit ribosomal RNA", at positions 524 to 776 of the family's 1533-position model. The record is from RNAcentral.
UACGGGGGGGGCAAGCGUUGUUCGGAAUUACUGGGCGUAAAGGGCUCGUAGGUGGCCAACUAAGUCACACGUGAAAUCCCUCGGCUUAACCGGGGAACUGCGUGUGAUACUGGAUGGCUUGAGUUUGGGAGAGGGAUGCGGAAUUCCAGGUGUAGCGGUGAAAUGCGUAGAGAUCUGGAAGAACACCAAAGGCGAAGGCAGCGUCCUGGGAAGCAUCUGACGCUCAGGUGCGAAAGCUAGGGGAGCGAACGGG